Molecule: small nuclear RNA, 106 nt
Organism: Sinocyclocheilus rhinocerous
Lineage: Eukaryota; Metazoa; Chordata; Actinopteri; Cypriniformes; Cyprinidae
Source: Ensembl
AUAUUGUAAUCUAGUAUGCAUAAAAACCUGUCUUUUUACUCAGAGGAGAUUAGCAUGGCCCCUGCAAAAGGAUGACAUGCAAAUCCGUGAUGCGCUCCAUCUAUGG